RNAcentral lists this ribosomal RNA (1166 nucleotides) under human gut metagenome. Its description in RNAcentral is "bacterial LSU rRNA". It matches the Rfam family "Bacterial large subunit ribosomal RNA", at positions 1349 to 2493 of the family's 2925-position model. The record is from RNAcentral.
GGUUUCCUGGGCAAGGCUAAUCCUCCCAGGGUCAGUCGGGGGCUAAGGCGAGGCCGGGAGGCGUAGCCGACGCGCAGCAGGCAGACAUUCCUGCACCGCGCACGCGGCGCUACGACCGACGGGGCGACGGAUGGGGGUGGCUCGGCGGGGUUCUGGACGUCCCCGUGAUGGAGCGCGGCCCGCGGACCAGGGAAAUCCGGUCCGCACGAGGGCGAGGCUCCGGACGAAGCGAUUGAGCGAAGCGAGUGAGCCCGAGGUCCCUAGAAAAACCCCUAGGCAGGCGCGUGCGCGCCCGUACCGCAAACCGACACAGGUGGGUGGGUAGAACAUACCGAGGCGAUCGGGUCAACCAUGGUCAAGGAACUCGGCACAAUGGCCCCGUAACUUCGGGAGAAGGGGUGCCCGCGCGUACGUGAACCGGCUUGCCCGGGGAGCGGAGGCGGGCCGCAGUGGAGAGGCCCAAGCGACUGUUUACCAAAAACACAGGACUCUGCAGAAGCCGCAAGGCGACGUAUAGGGUCUGACGCCUGCCCGGUGCCGGAAGGUCACGCGGAGGAGUUAGCCGUCAAGGCGAAGCCCCGAAGCCAAGCCCCGGUAAACGGCGGCCGUAACUAUAACGGUCCUAAGGUAGCGAAAUUCCUUGUCGGGUAAGUUCCGACCUGCACGAAAGGCGCAACGACUUGGGCGCUGUCUCGACCAUGGACCCGGUGAAAUUGCACUGGUCGUGAAGAUGCGACUUACCCGCGGAAGGACGGAAAGACCCCGUGAACCUUCACUGCAGCUUGGCAUUGGCCGCUGGUCCCGCGUGUAGAGGAUAGGCAGGAGGCACAGAUCCGGAGGCGCCAGCCCCCGGGGAGCCGCCCUUGGAAUACUGCCCUCGCGCGACCGGCGUCCUAACCCGAGGCCGUCAACCGGCUCGGGGACCGUGCCAGGCGGGCAGUUUGACUGGGGCGGUCGCCUCCUAAAGGGUAACGGAGGCGCGCGAAGGUCCGCUCGGGACGGUCGGCAACCGUCCUUUUGAAUGCAAGAGUACAAGCGGGCUUGACUGCGAGGCCCACAAGCCGAGCAGGUGCGAAAGCAGGCUCUAGUGAUCCGGCGGCCCCGAGUGGGUGGGCCGUCGCUCAACGGAUAAAAGGUACUCCGGGGAUAACAGGCUGAUCUUGCCC